This 840-nucleotide ribosomal RNA is filed under the name uncultured bacterium. RNAcentral describes it as "bacterial SSU rRNA". It matches the Rfam family "Bacterial small subunit ribosomal RNA", at positions 41 to 850 of the family's 1533-position model. The record is from RNAcentral.
GGCUGCCUAUACAUGCAAGUCGAACGAGCUUCCGUUGAUUGACGUGCUUGCACUGAUUUCAACAUUGAAGCGAGUGGCGAACUGGUGAGUAACACGUGGGAAAUCUGCCCAGAAGCAGGGGAUAACACUUGGAAACAGGUGCUAAUACCGUAUAACAACAAAAACCGCAUGGUUUUUGUUUGAAAGGUGGCUUCGGCUAUCACUUCUGGAUGAUCCCGCGGCGUAUUAGUUAGUUGGUGAGGUAAAGGCCCACCAAGACAAUGAUACGUAGCCGACCUGAGAGGGUAAUCGGCCACAUUGGGACUGAGACACGGCCCAAACUCCUACGGGAGGCAGCAGUAGGGAAUCUUCCACAAUGGACGAAAGUCUGAUGGAGCAAUGCCGCGUGAGUGAAGAAGGGUUUCGGCACGUAAAACUCUGUUGUUAAAGAAGAACACUUCUGAGAGUAACUGUUCAGAAGUUGACGGUAUUUAACCAGAAAGCCACGGCUAACUACGUGCCAGCAGCCGCGGUAAUACGUAGGUGGCAAGCGUUGUCCGGAUUUAUUGGGCGUAAAGCGAGCGCAGGCGGUUUUUUAAGUCUGAUGUGAAAGCCUUCGGCUUAACCGGAGAAGUGCAUCGGAAACUGGGAAACUUGAGUGCAGAAGAGGACAGUGGAACUCCAUGUGUAGCGGUGGAAUGCGUAGAUAUAUGGAAGAACACCAGUGGCGAAAGCGGCUGUCUAGUCUGUAACUGACGCUGAGCUCGAAAGCAUGGGUAGCGAACAGGAUUAGAUACCCUGGUAGUCCAUGCCGUAACGAUGAGUGCUAGUGUUGGAGGGUUUCCGCCCUUCAGUGCCGCA